This 350-nucleotide ribosomal RNA is filed under the name uncultured bacterium. RNAcentral's name for it is "bacterial SSU rRNA". It matches the Rfam family "Bacterial small subunit ribosomal RNA", at positions 356 to 720 of the family's 1533-position model. The record is from RNAcentral.
GAGGAAUUUUCCGCAAUGGGCGAAAGCCUGACGGAGCAAUACCGCGUGAGGGAUGACGGCCUUCGGGUUGUAAACCUCUUUUUUCAGGGAGGAAGUUCUGACGUGUACCUGAAGAAUAAGCAUCGGCUAACUCCGUGCCAGCAGCCGCGGUAAGACGGAGGAUGCAAGUGUUAUCCGAAAUUAUUGGGCGUAAAGAGUCUGUAGGUGGCCUAGCAAGUCUAGUGUUAAAUGUUGAAACUUAAUUUCAAACCUGCAUUAGAAACUGCUAAGCUUGAGUAAAGUCGAAGUAGAAGGAAUUUCCAGUGAAGCGGUGAAAUGCGUAGAUAUUGGAAGGAAGACCGAUGGCGAAA